UUGCUCCGAUGGAAUAUGGGUAUAAAUAUCCCUCCGACCUGAGACCGCCAUGGUGACUUGCAAGCAACUCACUGCACUUAGGCACUGGACUACCUGAAUUUUUAAUUCAGAGAUGGAAGGCUGCUGGGUGUAGUCAAGUACUUGACUUGUCGGUGUGUGUGUCAAGAUGGGAUUGACCACUCCAGUUUAGGAGCUAUGUACAGUCAUGUUUCAAUUUAGCAAAAUCUUGGCCAGGGUAGUCCUUGUGAGGAGUCACAGGACUGUUUGAGUUGAGCACGAUUCGGAUGAUCUGAUCAGGGUUGACAGUUUAACCCUGAGUCAUCCUAAACACAAAGGUCAAAAGGAUGAAGUAUACAGUAAUCAUAUUCACGUAGGUUUUGAGUAUUGCGAUUGCGACCAUUCGACC
This 406-nucleotide long non-coding RNA is filed under the name Elaeis guineensis (African oil palm). RNAcentral's name for it is "long non-coding RNA (EGUI_LNC074344)". The record is from RNAcentral. Lineage: Eukaryota; Viridiplantae; Streptophyta; Magnoliopsida; Arecales; Arecaceae.